UGAGGAAUAUUGGUCAAUGGGCGGUAGCCUGAACCAGCCAAGUAGCGUGCAGGAUGACGGCCCUAUGGGUUGUAAACUGCUUUUAUGCGGGGAUAAAGUCACCCACGUGUGGGUGUUUGCAGGUACCGCAUGAAUAAGGACCGGCUAAUUCCGUGCCAGCAGCCGCGGUAAUACGGAAGGUCCGGGCGUUAUCCGGAUUUAUUGGGUUUAAAGGGAGCGUAGGCUGUCUAUUAAGCGUGUUGUGAAAUAUACCGGCUCAACCGGUGGCUUGCAGCGCGAACUGGUCGACUUGAGUAUGCAGGAAGUAGGCGGAAUUCGUGGUGUAGCGGUGAAAUGCUUAGAUAUCAUGACGAACUCCGAUUGCGCAGGCAGCUUACUGUAGCAUAACUGACGCUGAUGCUCGAAAGUGCGGGUAUCAAACAGG
This 424-nucleotide ribosomal RNA is filed under the name Verrucomicrobiota bacterium. Its description in RNAcentral is "Verrucomicrobia bacterium partial 16S ribosomal RNA". It matches the Rfam family "Bacterial small subunit ribosomal RNA", at positions 355 to 776 of the family's 1533-position model. The record is from RNAcentral. Lineage: Bacteria; Pseudomonadati; Verrucomicrobiota.